UACUUCCAAUCCUUCCUAAAUCAUUCCCAAAUUGCGAUAUCAUCUUCUCCUUCUCAAUUUCGAUUCCCUGGUACGCCUUUGCAGUUUUUGCUUUCUAAAUCUUGCUGCAUUUUUUUGCUUGUUCUCAAUCUAGUAUUGAAUCAUUCCACAGCCCCAUUUUGUUUUGCUUCAAAAUUGCCAUACCCAUUCAUUUACUGUGUUAACUCAACAAAUUUUGAUGAUCAAUGGCUUAUUUGUUUCUUCACAACGCACGUAAUUACACACCAACUGUGCUUUUCUAGGUUUACUGACAAUAUCUUAUUCGUAUGA
Vicia faba (fava bean) is the source of this 309-nucleotide non-coding RNA. The record is from the annotation of a GenBank genome assembly. NCBI's taxonomy places the organism in Eukaryota, Viridiplantae, Streptophyta, Magnoliopsida, Fabales, Fabaceae.